GAUGAACGCUAGCGGCAGGCCUAAUACAUGCAAGUCGAACGAUACCAGAGAGCUUGCUUUCAUGAGAGUGGCGCACGGGUGCGUAACACGUAUGUAACCUACCUUAAUCAGGGGGAUAGCCUCUCGAAAGAGAGAUUAACACAGCAUAACAUCAUACAAUAGCAUUAUUUUAUGAUCAAAUAUUUAUAGGAUUAAGUUGGGCAUGCGGGACAUUAGCUAGUUGGCGGGGUAACGGCCCACCAAGGCGACGAUGUCUAGGGGAUCUGAGAGGAUGGCCCCCCACACUGGUACUGAGACACGGACCAGACUCCUACGGGAGGCAGCAGUAAGGAAUAUUGGUCAAUGGGCGCAAGCCUGAACCAGCCAUGCCGCGUGCAGGAAGACGGCCCUACGGGUUGUAAACUGCUUUUGUACCGGAAUAAACCUCUUUUCGUGAAAGGAGCUGAAUGUACGGUAAGAAUAAGGAUCGGCUAACUCCGUGCCAGCCGCCGCCGUAA
This 497-nucleotide ribosomal RNA is filed under the name uncultured bacterium. Its description in RNAcentral is "partial 16S ribosomal RNA". It matches the Rfam family "Bacterial small subunit ribosomal RNA", at positions 28 to 523 of the family's 1533-position model. The record is from RNAcentral.